This 2895-nucleotide ribosomal RNA is filed under the name Klebsiella oxytoca BRL6-2. RNAcentral describes it as "bacterial LSU rRNA". It matches the Rfam family "Bacterial large subunit ribosomal RNA". The record is from RNAcentral. Lineage: Bacteria; Pseudomonadati; Pseudomonadota; Gammaproteobacteria; Enterobacterales; Enterobacteriaceae.
ACUAAGCGUACACGGUGGAUGCCCUGGCAGUCAGAGGCGAUGAAGGACGUGCUAAUCUGCGAAAAGCGUCGGUAAGGUGAUAUGAACCGUUACAGCCGGCGAUGUCCGAAUGGGGAAACCCAGUGCAAUUCGUUGCACUAUCGUUAACUGAAUACAUAGGUUAACGAGGCGAACCGGGGGAACUGAAACAUCUAAGUACCCCGAGGAAAAGAAAUCAACCGAGAUUCCCCCAGUAGCGGCGAGCGAACGGGGAGCAGCCCGGAGUCUGAAUCAGCUUGUGUGUUAGUGGAAGCGUCUGGAAAGUCGCAGGGUACAGGGUGAUACUCCCGUACACUAAAACACACAGGCUGUGAACUCGAAGAGUAGGGCGGGACACGUGGUAUCCUGUCUGAAUAUGGGGGGACCAUCCUCCAAGGCUAAAUACUCCUGACUGACCGAUAGUGAACCAGUACCGUGAGGGAAAGGCGAAAAGAACCCCGGCGAGGGGAGUGAAAAAGAACCUGAAACCGUGUACGUACAAGCAGUAGGAGCCCACGAGUUGGGUGACUGCGUACCUUUUGUAUAAUGGGUCAGCGACUUAUAUUCUGUAGCAAGGUUAACCGUAUAGGGGAGCCGCAGGGAAACCGAGUCUUAACUGGGCGUUAAGUUGCAGGGUAUAGACCCGAAACCCGGUGAUCUAGCCAUGGGCAGGUUGAAGGUUGGGUAACACUAACUGGAGGACCGAACCGACUAAUGUUGAAAAAUUAGCGGAUGACUUGUGGCUGGGGGUGAAAGGCCAAUCAAACCGGGAGAUAGCUGGUUCUCCCCGAAAGCUAUUUAGGUAGCGCCUCGUGAAUUCAUCUUCGGGGGUAGAGCACUGUUUCGGCUAGGGGGUCAUCCCGACUUACCAACCCGAUGCAAACUACGAAUACCGAAGAAUGUUAUCACGGGAGACACACGGCGGGUGCUAACGUCCGUCGUGAAGAGGGAAACAACCCAGACCGCCAGCUAAGGUCCCAAAGUCAUGGUUAAGUGGGAAACGAUGUGGGAAGGCCCAGACAGCCAGGAUGUUGGCUUAGAAGCAGCCAUCAUUUAAAGAAAGCGUAAUAGCUCACUGGUCGAGUCGGCCUGCGCGGAAGAUGUAACGGGGCUAAACCAUGCACCGAAGCUGCGGCAGCGACACUAUGUGUUGUUGGGUAGGGGAGCGUUCUGUAAGCCGUUGAAGGUGGCCUGUGAGGGUUGCUGGAGGUAUCAGAAGUGCGAAUGCUGACAUAAGUAACGAUAAUGCGGGUGAAAAACCCGCACGCCGGAAGACCAAGGGUUCCUGUCCAACGUUAAUCGGGGCAGGGUGAGUCGACCCCUAAGGCGAGGCCGAAAGGCGUAGUCGAUGGGAAACAGGUUAAUAUUCCUGUACUUGGUGUUACUGCGAAGGGGGGACGGAGAAGGCUAUGUUGGCCGGGCGACGGUUGUCCCGGUUUAAGCAUGUAGGCGGAUGUUCCAGGUAAAUCCGGAACGUUAUUAACGCUGAGGUGUGAUGACGAGGCACUACGGUGCUGAAGUGACAAAUGCCCUGCUUCCAGGAAAAGCCUCUAAGCAUCAGGUAACAUCAAAUCGUACCCCAAACCGACACAGGUGGUCAGGUAGAGAAUACCAAGGCGCUUGAGAGAACUCGGGUGAAGGAACUAGGCAAAAUGGUGCCGUAACUUCGGGAGAAGGCACGCUGAUGGUAGGUGAAGUGACUUGCUCAUGGAGCUGAAAUCAGUCGAAGAUACCAGCUGGCUGCAACUGUUUAUUAAAAACACAGCACUGUGCAAACACGAAAGUGGACGUAUACGGUGUGACGCCUGCCCGGUGCCGGAAGGUUAAUUGAUGGGGUUAUCCUCACGGAGAAGCUCUUGAUCGAAGCCCCGGUAAACGGCGGCCGUAACUAUAACGGUCCUAAGGUAGCGAAAUUCCUUGUCGGGUAAGUUCCGACCUGCACGAAUGGCGUAAUGAUGGCCAGGCUGUCUCCACCCGAGACUCAGUGAAAUUGAACUCGCUGUGAAGAUGCAGUGUACCCGCGGCAAGACGGAAAGACCCCGUGAACCUUUACUAUAGCUUGACACUGAACACUGGUCCUUGAUGUGUAGGAUAGGUGGGAGGCUUUGAAGUGUGGACGCCAGUCUGCAUGGAGCCGUCCUUGAAAUACCACCCUUUAAUGGCUGGUGUUCUAACGUGGGCCCCUAAUCGGGGUUGCGGACAGUGUCUGGUGGGUAGUUUGACUGGGGCGGUCUCCUCCUAAAGAGUAACGGAGGAGCACGAAGGUCAGCUAAUCCUGGUCGGACAUCAGGAGGUUAGUGCAAUGGCAUAAGCUGGCUUGACUGCGAGCGUGACGGCGCGAGCAGGUGCGAAAGCAGGUCAUAGUGAUCCGGUGGUUCUGAAUGGAAGGGCCAUCGCUCAACGGAUAAAAGGUACUCCGGGGAUAACAGGCUGAUACCGCCCAAGAGUUCAUAUCGACGGCGGUGUUUGGCACCUCGAUGUCGGCUCAUCACAUCCUGGGGCUGAAGUAGGUCCCAAGGGUAUGGCUGUUCGCCAUUUAAAGUGGUACGCGAGCUGGGUUUAGAACGUCGUGAGACAGUUCGGUCCCUAUCUGCCGUGGGCGCUGGAGAAUUGAGGGGGGCUGCUCCUAGUACGAGAGGACCGGAGUGGACGCAUCACUGGUGUUCGGGUUGUCAUGCCAAUGGCAUUGCCCGGUAGCUAAAUGCGGAAGAGAUAAGUGCUGAAAGCAUCUAAGCACGAAACUUGCCCCGAGAUGAGUUCUCCCUGACUCCUUGAGAGUCCUGAAGGAACGUUGAAGACGACGACGUUGAUAGGCCGGGUGUGUAAGCGCAGCGAUGCGUUGAGCUAACCGGUACUAAUGAACCGUGAGGCUUAACC